This 803-nucleotide small RNA is filed under the name Pan troglodytes (chimpanzee). RNAcentral describes it as "retained intron". Lineage: Eukaryota; Metazoa; Chordata; Mammalia; Primates; Hominidae. The record is from RNAcentral.
CCCCAGCAACCCCUCUGUCCCAGUAGCAGUGAGCAGCGGGCCAGGCCGGGGAGAUGCUGACAGUCAUGCUAGUAUGAAGAGUCUGCUGACCAGCAGGCCUGAGGACACCACACACAAUCGCCGCAGCAGAGGUGAGGCCCAUAGCUGCUGUGGGGAAUGGGCUCCAGUGCCACCUUGGCCUGACUUUGCUAUCUGGCCUUCCUCAGGCAUGGUCCAGAGCAGCUCCCCAAUCAUGCCCACAGUGGGGCCCUCCACUGCAUCCCCAGAAGAACCCCCAGGCUCCAGUUUACCCAGUGAUACAUCAGAUGAGAUCAUGGACCUUCUGGUGCAGUCAGUGACCAAGAGCAGUCCUCGUGCCUUAGCUGCUAGGGAACGCAAGCGUUCCCGCGGCAACCGCAAGUCUUGUAAGUAACCCCCCCACAAUCCCACUGCCCACCUGAACCCCAUCAACCCCCUCCAACCCUGCUCUGUCCCUGCAGUGAGAAGGACGUUGAAGAGUGGGCUCGGAGAUGACCUGGUGCAGGCACUGGGACUAAGCAAGGGUCCUGGCCUGGAGGUGUGAAGGUGCUGUAUCCCGGAAAUCUAUCUGGACCCUGGACUGCAGUGCAGGAGAUGACAGAGUGAGGAGGGCCCAGAGCAGAAUUCUGGCCCCAGAACUCUGUGCCCAGGAGCCAUGCCUUGAGCAGUAUUAGCCGUGUGUGUGUGCAUGUGAGUGUGAGUGUGUGUGUGUGUGUGUGCAUGUGCAUGUGUGUGAGCUCCUUGAAAGCACGGAGCAAAAUAAAAUUUUCUUAGCUAAUCCAACA